Long non-coding RNA from Lepus europaeus (European hare), 593 nucleotides. RefSeq lists it as uncharacterized. NCBI's taxonomy places the organism in Eukaryota, Metazoa, Chordata, Mammalia, Lagomorpha, Leporidae. The record is from RefSeq and is a predicted model, not a curated record. The transcript has 3 exons.
CGAGACCCAGGAUCCCUCCGAGAGGCCCUCGGGAGCCGGCGGCGGGGCUGGGAGCGGAGCGGGAUGAACAACGUCUUGGCAUCUACACCUGUUCCUCAUCCUCUACUCCAUGCCUUCGAUGCGGUCUGACCAGCCCUCCUACCUGCCUUUAGCUGGACACUGCUCUCCAACGAGGGCUGCUGUGGAACUCCACUGUGGUCGUGACUGUGAAGGAAGGAAACUCGUCUUAAAAGCCAUCAGCAAGCCACUGCACGUAUCUCAUUGGUGUUGAAAACUAGCUGCCGUCAAGGACGACUGAGCUGCCCUCCGUUGGCCCAGUCACAAACAGCCUUUGAGUUGGGAUGGCAGUGUCUGGUGCCUGGUUGCAGAGGACUGGGCUAGAGACUGAGAAUCUACCACUUGCAGGGUCUUAGUCCACCUGUACAGGAUGGACUGGGUCCCAGGAAAGGUAAGUGCGCCGCUCGCCUGUUCCCCAGCCUCCUGAUCCCGGAAACAAUCAGACGUAGCAGGGAGCCAAGUCUAGCAAGGACUCAUUUACUUCGUGCAUAACAGAACCUUUUAUAGCCCAAAACUGCAGUCAUUGGGGCAGGGCU